GUGUACGUUUAGGCGUGAGAUGGAUUCCUU
RNAcentral lists this non-coding RNA (30 nucleotides) under Rattus norvegicus (Norway rat). Lineage: Eukaryota; Metazoa; Chordata; Mammalia; Rodentia; Muridae. The record is from RNAcentral.